RNAcentral lists this ribosomal RNA (196 nucleotides) under uncultured crenarchaeote. RNAcentral describes it as "partial 16S ribosomal RNA". It matches the Rfam family "Archaeal small subunit ribosomal RNA", at positions 476 to 672 of the family's 1478-position model. Lineage: Archaea; Thermoproteati; Thermoproteota. The record is from RNAcentral.
CCAGCUCUCCGAGUGGUAGGGAUGAUUAUUGGGCUUAAAGCGUCCGUAGCCGGCUUAUCAAGUCUCCUGUUAAACUCAGCGACCUAAUCGUUGAAUCGCGGGAGAUACUACUAGGCUAGGAGGCGGGAGAGGUCGACGGUACUUCUGGGGUAGGGGUGAAAUCCUAUAAUCCCAGGAGGACCACCAGUGGCGAAGG